This 1797-nucleotide ribosomal RNA is filed under the name Triticum aestivum (bread wheat). Its description in RNAcentral is "partial small subunit ribosomal RNA". The record is from RNAcentral. Lineage: Eukaryota; Viridiplantae; Streptophyta; Magnoliopsida; Poales; Poaceae.
AUGUGCGCAGCCAGGCGUCUCGCAGCGGCGCUCCCUCGACUGCGAGCACAGCACCGCGCCUCCUCCUCCGCCGCCUCCCCACCCGCUCCCACCCCUUCCGCCGCCUCCGUCCUCGACGACCUCCUCUCCGCGCCCACCCCUUCCGCCUCCGCCCUCUCCCUCCUCCGCGACACGCCCUCCCUCUCCGCCGAGCUCUACUCCACCCUCGCCGCGCCCUCCCACGCCCUCACCCCCGCCUCCCUCGCGCUCCUCCUCUCCCUUCCCUCAUGCCACCGCCUCCCGCCCCCCUCCGCGCCCAUCCUCUCCGCCCUCUUAUCCAAGAUCCUCGCGCGUCGUCCCUCCUCUCCCGUCCAAGCCGCCGGCUUCCUCUGUGCCUCCCUCGCCGCUGGCGCCCCGCCGCCAGAGACUUCUGUUUUCAACAAGCUCCUAGCCCCGCUCGCUCGCGCCGGAGACCUCCCGAGAAUGACCCAGCUCUUCUCCUCCAUGCGGGCCGCCACUGUCAGGCCUGACGCCGUCACCUACGGCAUACUCGUCAAUGGCCUCUGCAAAUCUGGCCGCGUGGGGGACGCCCUCAGGAUGCUCGAUGGAAUGUCUGGUUCAGACUCGGACGUUCGCCCGGAUGUUGUCACGGUGAACACAGUCGUGAACGGUUUGUGCAAGAGUGGGAGGGUCCAAGAGGCUGUGACAUUUGUGGAGGAGCGGAUGAGGAGUGUGCAUGGACAUGCACCCGACACAUUUUCUUACAACUGCUUGGCCGAUGCAUUUUGCCGUGUGGGGAAUGUUGCCAUGGCGUGUGAGGUGAUUGGGAGGAUGGAGAGGGAGGGCCUGUCACCGGAUGUCUUCACUCUGAACAUGAUUGUGGUCGCCUUGUGCCGGGUAGGGAGGGUUUGGGCUGCGCUGGAGUUCUUCAGGGAGAAAAGAACAAUUUGGCCUGAAGCCAGGGGCAACGCUGUGACCUACAGCACUCUGGUUCAGGCUUUGCUCAGCACUAAAAAUGUGGAUGUGGCCAUGGAGUUGUUCCAUGAGAUGAAAGAAGUAUGGCAACCACCAAAGAAAACCAUGUAUUUCAUCAUGACGUUGGGAUUGGCACAAGCAGGGCGGUUGCAGGAUGCUUGCUCCAUGGCGUCAUCGAUGAAGAAGGCAGGCUUUCAGCUGGAUGCAAAAGCAUACAAUAUUUUGAUUGGUGGGUUUUGUAGGGAGAACAGACUGUGUGAGGCUCAUGAGUGGCUUGGGAAGAUGAAGGAAGCUGGUCUCCGGCCAGAUGUGUACACCUACACUACCUUGUUGUCUGGUUCGUGCAAAGCAGGAGAUUUCUUGGCUGUGGAUGAAUUGAUGGGGAAAAUGAUCGAUGAUGGUUGCCGGCCUUCUGUGGUCACCUUUGGUACACUUAUACAUGGAUAUUGCAAAGCUGGUAAAAUAGAUGAGGCGUUGCACAUUUUCCGGUCUAUGGAUGAAUCUGGUGUUCAGCCCAACACUGUGAUAUACAAUAUUCUGAUCGACUUUCUCUGCAAGAGCAGAAAUGUUAGUUUAGCAAUUAAACUGUUUGAUUGGAUGAGCGAGAAGCAUGUGCCCGCAGACGUAACAACCUUCAAUGCAUUGCUGAAGGGACUUCGCGAUAAGAAUAUGCCGGAGAAGGCCUUUGAACUGAUGGACAGGAUGAGGGAAGAGAGGUGCACCCCUGAUUCCUUGACCAUUGAAGUUCUCCUUGAAUGGCUGCCUGGCAUUGGUGAAACAAAUAGAUUAAAUAAUUUUAUGCAGCAAGUGGGGUGUACGGCACCGAAAAGGACAACUACAUAA